GGGUAUGUGUGUCCAGAGUGGAGAGAGUCACAGAGGUGUGAGAGCCAGCAAAGACAGCCAGUCGGGUCUCUGAGGCUUGCCGCCUGGCUGCCGGGCACUGUCUUUCCAGAGCGUCACUCAGGAGAUGGGCCAGCAGCUGAGCCACGACGCCCUCGACUCCACCACCCUGCAGGAAGGGAAGGUGCCCCACGCUGCCAAGCGAGGCCAGGGCCGGCUCAGGGCUGAAAAUCCAUCCCCAGCGAAGAGCAAAGCGUCCCGCCUGGUGUGAACCGUCCAGGCUGGAACGCGGCAGAAGCGAGUGGAGCACCUGGUGCCCGCCUUCCUGGAGGGCGACACCGCCUACGUCCACAGCUUCCUGAGCACGUAUAGAGGUUUUGCCACCACACGACAGGUGCUGGAGCUUCUGUUUCAAAGAUACGGUUGUGUCCUUGCCUAUGGCGAUGAGGACGGCGGACCCCUAGACCAACUCAAAAAGGCCAUCUCCUUCAUUCUGGGCGCCUGGCUCCGAUGGUACCCUGAGGAUUUUAUCCAGCCCCCAGAUGUUCCCAGCCUGGAACUGCUCUUGGCCUACAUCGGUCUCAAUAUGCCCGGCUCGGAGCUGGAGCACCGCGCCCGCGUUCUUCUUUCCCGGCUGGAGCAGCCUGAGCACACUGAUGCCAAGACUGAGGCUGCAGCUCCACC
Equus caballus (horse) is the source of this 681-nucleotide non-coding RNA. The record is from RefSeq and is a predicted model, not a curated record. NCBI's taxonomy places the organism in Eukaryota, Metazoa, Chordata, Mammalia, Perissodactyla, Equidae.